Molecule: ribosomal RNA, 451 nt
Filed under: uncultured bacterium
Lineage: Bacteria
Description: bacterial SSU rRNA
Rfam family: Bacterial small subunit ribosomal RNA
Source: RNAcentral
GUCGAGAAUUUUUCACAAUGGGCGAAAGCCUGAUGGAGCGACGCCGCGUGGGGGACCUGAAGGGCUUCGGCCUGUAAACCCCUGUCAUUUGCGAACAAACCUUCUUGUUGAACAGACAAGAAGCUGAUUGUAGCGAAAGAGGAAGGGACGGCUAACUCUGUGCCAGCAGCCGCGGUAAUACAGAGGUCCCAAGCGUUGUUCGGAUUCACUGGGCGUAAAGGGUGCGUAGGUGGUCGGGUAAGUUUGAUGUGAAAGCUCCGGGCUCAACCCGGAAAUGGCAUUGAAUACUGCCUGGCUGGAGGAUCGGAGGGGAGACUGGAAUUCUCGGUGUAGCAGUGAAAUGCGUAGAUAUCGAGAGGAACACCAGUGGCGAAGGCGAGUCUCUGGACGAUUCCUGACACUGAGGCACGAAAGCUAGGGGAGCAAACAGGAUUAGAAACCCUAGUAGUCC